ACCGUUUUGUUUCAUAACCAGAACUCACACCUCCAAUCAAUCAGCAUCUAUUUAUUCCUUCUUCAUUUUAUUCCUACAAGGAAAUUCUUAGUCUUAACAGUCGUUCAUGAAUCUUUGCAGUUGAAGCCAGAACUCAAUCUGAGAACCAAGGCAAAAAAGAAUCAAAUAGAAAUAGAGGAAAGCUUCAUCUGGUGAUAUGAAUGGAGAUAAUCUGAUGAAUUGGAAAUUUUGCAGUCAGAUUGUGCACUAUUGAUGAAUUGAAUAGUUUUAUUAAGCUGGUUUUGCCACGUUUCCUCCUUCUGUGUUAGAAUGUCUGAAGUGCAAAAUACCAGAGAGUCCUCGUCCCUUGGCUAGCUGCUCAAUUUCCUCAAGUUUGUGUCUAAGAAUUUCCACUUCUUUGGCUAAUUCUUCAUCCCUUUUCCUCAUUGCCUCCAAUUCUUGCCGGCGCAUUUCCUCCUUCCUGGCUUCUGAUUUGGCACUCCUUUGCACCUCAAAUAUCACAACAGCUCCUGCCACCGUGAAAACAAAGAGUUCCCCUAUGAGAUCAACGGCAGCCUGGACAGCUUUCUCCUCAUUCAAAGGGCGUAUCUCAACAUCUGUUGCGUGACUAUAGAUUCGCCUUUGCAUUCUCGUCGUCAAUCUGUGGUUUGCCUGGGCCAUGUUGAUGAUGAACUGGCGGAACUUGGGGUGGAAAGCAGCCUGUUGCUUGAGCUUACUAGCGACUGGCUUUCUUUGCGGUUUUGCCGCUUCCCAAGCUUUAAUAGCGGCAGCACCAUAAUCGCCUUUUCGUUGAAGCUUUUUAGAUCUGCUUUGUGCGAUUUCUCGCGAAUAACUGAAGCGAACGACCAAUGGGCCUUAGCUUUGGGUUUUAUUAGGGAUCAUAUCGAAAAAUGAAAUGCGAAAGUGGCGUGUUAUGAAAAAUAUUUCCUUGAUGAAGAAGAAAGAUCGCCCGCUGCAACUGCGAAUUAGCUGCGACUAGACGUGGAAGAUGUCAAUUC
RNAcentral lists this unclassified non-coding RNA (998 nucleotides) under Hevea brasiliensis (rubber tree). Lineage: Eukaryota; Viridiplantae; Streptophyta; Magnoliopsida; Malpighiales; Euphorbiaceae. The record is from RNAcentral.